Molecule: non-coding RNA, 29 nt
Filed under: Mus musculus (house mouse)
Lineage: Eukaryota; Metazoa; Chordata; Mammalia; Rodentia; Muridae
Source: RNAcentral
UCUGGUCCUCAGUGUUUUCAUCUCACAGU